Molecule: long non-coding RNA, 1264 nt
Organism: Pseudoliparis swirei
Lineage: Eukaryota; Metazoa; Chordata; Actinopteri; Perciformes; Liparidae
Exons: 2
Source: RefSeq, a predicted model, not a curated record
GUUCACACUGCACGUGCCGUUAAUAUGACGUCAUGUAAUGAUACAUGUGUUCAUUAUAAUCAUGAUUGCAUCAUUCCAUGAGCUCCGAGUCCUUCGGGAUGAACACGUGACGUGUUGUUGUCUGACGGAACUCAGCCGCGUCCGGACGCGUUCUCUAGAUUAUAGUUAAUGACACAUAAACAUGUUUCGACCUCAGCCAGUAAAACAAAUAAACACAUGUGACUUACUUUGCUUACUAAAGAGGACAUUUUUUUAUUUUAAAAAUACCUGAUUGACGGCAUUGUAUUUCGACUCCCUGGCUGUGUCUACUACCGCGCACUUAACGAAGUACUUAACGAAGUGCACUGCAAUUCAGUGCACUGCAUUGCAGUGUACUGCGUCGCUGAUGAAGUGCUGUCUCAAAUGGAACACUUAACCGUUAACCACUUGGCGGAAGUGACGGACGCAAAUCUGUUCACGGCACCCGCGAAAUUAAGCCGGGAGUGACGUAUGCAAAUCUGCUUGCGAUACCCAAACCCUUAAACUGACAAAAUGAAUGCACUUCUUGCCCUCUUUGUGUCCCUUGUUUACCCCUUUCUCCACCCCAUGUGGAAACUGCGAUACCUCCACCAUCGCGGCAGGAGCCUCCGCCUUCUGGCUGAAGUCGAGAUGCCACCCAGUCCCAGGCGGCGCUGCCGUAUCAAUGCUGCAAUGCCACUGCUGGCGUUGUGUUGUGAUGGCCACAGUGACAUGAGGGUGGACUUCAGGCUCACCGAGUCAUUCAACGCCCUCAUGGCUGUGCUGGGCACUGACUGACCACGGUUGGGGCCCCGAGAUCUCCGGGCUCAGUGCAUGAUGCCAGGGUCCUGAAUAACAGCCCCAUCUUCUAUGAGCAGUCAUCCCCUCCACCAGGAUACUGUAUCCUUGGGGAUGGUGGCUCCCCCUGCCUGUCCCAACCCAUCUGCCUCAUGACCCCCUUCAGGCAGCCUGUCCACCUCCAAGCUACAACUGCUGCCUGUCAAAGGCGAGGUGUGUUGUGGAGAGGUCCUUCGGGAUACUGAAGACGCGAUGGCGGUCCAUCUUCUUCAAGGCCCUGGAGGUGGAUGUGAGGUGCCAGAGGUCAUUGGAGCCAGAUGUCGGGAGGGCAGCAGAGGACCAGCACCAGCACCUCCAGGAAACGUCUCUGGGGCAGGAAACAGAAAGAGGAUAGCCAUUCAGUGCUCUGUCCCAGACCACGAUUACAUUUAAAUUAAUACAUACACGACAUUAAAAAAACAACACACAA